Molecule: ribosomal RNA, 236 nt
Filed under: Babesia odocoilei
Lineage: Eukaryota; Apicomplexa; Aconoidasida; Piroplasmida; Babesiidae
Description: partial small subunit ribosomal RNA
Rfam family: Eukaryotic small subunit ribosomal RNA
Source: RNAcentral
GUCUGGUGCCAGCAGCCGCGGUAAUUCCAGCUCCAAUAGCGUAUAUUAAACUUGUUGCAGUUAAAAAGCUCGUAGUUGAAUUUCUGCGUCACCGUAUUUUGACUUUUGUCGACUGUCGGUUUCGCUUUUGGGAUUUAUCCCUUUUUACUUUGAGAAAAUUAAAGUGUUUCAAGCAGACUUUUGUCUUGAAUACUUCAGCAUGGAAUAAUAGAGUAGGACUUUGGUUCUAUUUUGUU